Molecule: ribosomal RNA, 891 nt
Filed under: Psychrobacter celer
Lineage: Bacteria; Pseudomonadati; Pseudomonadota; Gammaproteobacteria; Moraxellales; Moraxellaceae
Description: bacterial SSU rRNA
Rfam family: Bacterial small subunit ribosomal RNA
Source: RNAcentral
GGAAUUACUGGGCGUAAAGCGAGCGUAGGUGGCUUGAUAAGUCAGAUGUGAAAUCCCCGGGCUUAACCUGGGAACUGCAUCUGAUACUGUUAAGCUAGAGUAGGUGAGAGGGAAGUAGAAUUCCAGGUGUAGCGGUGAAAUGCGUAGAGAUCUGGAGGAAUACCGAUGGCGAAGGCAGCUUCCUGGCAUCAUACUGACACUGAGGCUCGAAAGCGUGGGUAGCAAACAGGAUUAGAUACCCUGGUAGUCCACGCCGUAAACGAUGUCUACUAGUCGUUGGGUCCCNUGAGGACUUAGUGACGCAGCUAACGCAAUAAGUAGACCGCCUGGGGAGUACGGCCGCAAGGUUAAAACUCAAAUGAAUUGNCGGGGGCCCGCACCAGCGGUGGAGCAUGUGGUUUANUUNGAUGCAACGCGAAGAACCUUACCUGGUCUUGACAUACACAGAAUCUUGUAGAGAUACGAGAGUGCCUUCGGGAAUUGUGAUACAGGUGCUGCAUGGCUGUCGUCAGCUNGUGUCGUGAGAUGUUGGGUUAAGUCCCGCAACGAGCGCAACCCUUGUCCUUAGUUACCAGCGGGUUAAGCCGGGAACUCUAAGGAUACUGCCAGUGACAAACUGGAGGAAGGCGGGGACGACGUCAAGUCAUCAUGGCCCUUACGACCAGGGCUACACACGUGCUACAAUGGUAGGUACAGAGGGCAGCUACACAGCGAUGUGAUGCGAAUCUCAAAAAGCCUAUCGUAGUCCAGAUUGGAGUCUGCAACUCGACUCCAUGAAGUAGGAAUCGCUAGUAAUCGCGGAUCAGAAUGCCGCGGUGAAUACGUUCCCGGGCCUUGUACACACCGCCCGUCACACCAUGGGAGUUGAUUGCACCAGAAGUGGUUAGCCGA